UGACGUGAANNUGNUGCUUGCACCAAUUUGAAGAGCAGCGAACGGGUGAGUAACGCGUGGGGAAUCUGCCUUUGAGCGGGGGACAACAUUUGGAAACGAAUGCUAAUACCGCAUAAUAACUUUAAACAUAAGUUUUAAGUUUGAAAGAUGCAAUUGCAUCACUCAAAGAUGAUCCCGCGUUGUAUUAGCUAGUUGGUGAGGUAAAGGCUCACCAAGGCGAUGAUACAUAGCCGACCUGAGAGGGUGAUCGGCCACAUUGGGACUGAGACACGGCCCAAACUCCUACGGGAGGCAGCAGUAGGGAAUCUUCGGCAAUGGACGAAAGUCUGACCGAGCAACGCCGCGUGAGUGAAGAAGGUUUUCGGAUCGUAAAACUCUGUUGGUAGAGAAGAACGUUGGUGAGAGUGGAAAGCUCAUCAAGUGACGGUAACUACCCAGAAGGGACGGCUAACUACGUGCCAGCAGCCGCGGUAAUACGUAGGUCCCGAGCGUUGUCCGGAUUAAUUGGGCGUAAGCGAGCGCAGGUGGUUAUAAAGUCUGGUGUAAANGCAGUGGCUCANCCAU
Molecule: ribosomal RNA, 564 nt
Filed under: Lactococcus lactis subsp. lactis
Lineage: Bacteria; Bacillati; Bacillota; Bacilli; Lactobacillales; Streptococcaceae
Description: bacterial SSU rRNA
Rfam family: Bacterial small subunit ribosomal RNA
Source: RNAcentral